This 253-nucleotide ribosomal RNA is filed under the name uncultured bacterium. Its description in RNAcentral is "partial 16S ribosomal RNA". It matches the Rfam family "Bacterial small subunit ribosomal RNA", at positions 524 to 776 of the family's 1533-position model. The record is from RNAcentral.
GACAGAGGGGGCAAGCGUUGCUCGGAAUUACUGGGCGUAAAGGGCGCGUAGGCGGAAUGGCAAGUCGGUCGUGAAAUCCUUCGGCUCAACCGAAGAACGUCGAUCGAAACUGCCGUUCUUGAGGAUUGCAGAGGAGACUGGAAUUCCCGGUGUAGCGGUGAAAUGCGCAGAUAUCAGGAGGAACACCGGUGGCGAAGGCGGGUCUCUGGGCCUGUCCUGACGCUCAGGCGCGAAAGCGUGGGUAGCGAACAGG